CCAGUCUGUUGCCAUUUUGAAAGGAAGCAGGAAGUACUGGCGAGGACCUCCGCAAUGAGACCGCUGCUGUUGCAAAGCUCUGGUAGUGUCUUGCGGACAGUUUUAGGGUUAUUUUCCACUUGUGGACACAACGUCACCCGACCAGCCGCUGUGCCUCAUUUGUACUCUUCAAGAAAAAUGAUGCACUAUCAAACGGUGGAGCGAGGAAGCCCCAACACUCCAAAUUACCGGGUUUAUUUUAAAAACUCAGAAGGCAACUACAUUUCUCCUUUCCAUGAUAUUCCACUGAUAACAGAGGCAGAACAGCAGGAUUUGCCAGCAAAGAAGGCAAAAAAGAGCGCGGUGCUCUUCAACAUGGUCGUGGAGGUACCUCGGUGGUCAAAUGCAAAGAUGGAGAUCGCAACACAGGAACCUCUGAAUCCCAUCAUGCAAGAUGUGAAGAAAGGCAAGCUCCGAUAUGUCGCCAACAUAUUUCCUCAUAAAGGUUACAUUUGGAACUAUGGAGCCAUCCCACAGACGUGGGAGGACCCCAACCAUACCGACUCGGAAACAAAAUGCUGUGGCGAUAACGAUCCCAUAGACGUCUGUGACAUUGGUACACAGGUGUGCUCCAUUGGGCAGGUCAUCCAAGUGAAAGUGCUCGGAAUUUUGGCAAUGAUUGACGAAGGCGAAAUGGACUGGAAAGUCAUCGCUAUCAAUGCAGAAGACCCUGAUGCCAAAAACUUAAAUAACAUAGACGAUGUCCGUAAGAGCCGACCCGGUCAUUUAGAGGCCACUGUGGACUGGUUCAGGAAAUACAAAGUUCCUGAUGGGAAACCCGAGAACCAAUUUGGAUUCAAUGCGCAAUUCAAAGAUAAGGACUUUGCUGUUGAGAUGAUCAAGUCCACACAUGAGCACUGGAGGGCUCUAGUGCAAAAGGAGACGUAUAGUGGAGGGAUUGAAUGGUAACAUAGUAAAAAUAUAUCAUGCAGUGAAAGUCCUUUCAAAUGCAAAGCAGAAGAAGCCAGAUACGUGGUCCAAUUGACCCCUGAACUCAGUAGCGGUCAGUGUGUUCCUCCAGAAGUGGACAAGUGGCACUUUGUCUGACUGAGAAAACCUAAAGACAUCAUGGACACGAACAAAAAUAAAAUUGGAUCAUCCCAUCAAUCAGUAUCAACUUUGCUCUAGUUUUGAGAAGACAUAAUUGUCUGGUAAGGAUUUGUGGACACCUGUAUAAUAAGUUUGUUGUACAAUAACGCUCCAUGUAGCAUAUAGUAGUGCCUUGGAUUCCUUUGAUAAUAAUAACAAUAAUAUUGUUUCUGGAUUGGAUUUAUAUAGUGCUCAAAGUGCAUGACACUGAGAACCCAUAAUUUGUUUAAUAUUAUUCACAUAAUGAUGGUGUUGAGCUACAUUUGUAACCACAGCUGCUUUGGGGUAGAUUGAUGGAAACGUGGCUGCAAAUUUGCAGCAAAGGCCUCUCCGAUCACCAUCAACCAUUCAUUCAAAUUUAUGCACCAGUGUGGGUUGCACUGGAAGUAAGGUGGGUGAAGUGUCUUGCCUAAGGACACGACAGUGACAGGGAUGGCAGAAAGCUGUAUUUUUACCUGGAACCUCAAUAUUCUGGGCAGUUGCUCUACCAUCUGAGCCAGGCCGCCUCAUUCCAAAAGGUUAAACGAAGACCGAAUUGUACCUAAACUGGAAUAACUUUUUCCAUAACAAAUAUUAUAAAUGCAAUGAAUCCAUCCCAGUCACCCACAAAUAUUUGCAAAAACAAUGCAAAAAUAAAUCCUCUGUACUUUACUACAAGUUAUUUCUUGAUUUCAAUAGUGUUUCUCACUUUUAUUCAAGUUCGGGCAUUUGCAACAUUCUUUUUCCCCAUGGUUUUUUUUGGCAGUCAUACUUAAUUUUAAAAAUGCACGGAGACUGAGUCACUAUCACGUAGAAUUCUUUGUUUGGUAAAUUGAUUCUGCAGAAGGAUAGGCGCACAAAAGGUGGCGUUUGUUACGCCGAGUAGUGGGUCUAUCGCAUACGAAUACUGGGGUAACAUUUUGGCAAAUAUUUGCAUCGUUAUGUAGGGCUGUACUGUAUGUUGUCAUCUUUAUGAUGUGUAUCCAAUCAGAUGUCUUAGCAUUGUCAUGUUUUUCAUGCCAUUUCCUUUUGUUGGGACCAUUAUCUUUGCAAGCGGUUCAUCAAGAGCAUUUAAUCGUUUUUUAAAAUCUUUUAAUCCACAAGUACUCGUAGGCUGUUAUAAUAAGCAUUUUUUCACAAAAGAAUAAAGGGUCCCCAUUCCCUGAUUUCAAGAAUAGUUACAUGAAAACAGGGUCUUGAAUUUUCAGAAGCUCUUCAUUUCAAUUGUUGCUUUCUUAGUAAAAGACAGGAUGCGGACGUAAAUGUGACACAUGUGCAUUAGAGUAUUAAAGGAUCAUACACACACAAACACAUUCAAAACUAGGAUUAUAUUUAAAACACAGGCAGCACUGAUUUUUAUACAAGUCAAGUAGCUUUAAAUAAAUAUAAAUUUAUUGAAAAAAAGAUAAAACACCCAUAUCUUGGCAAUAUCAGGAAUGAUAUAUUAAUACCAGCUUUCCAAUAAACUGCAUUCAGUACAUUACAAUGCGUACAGUAUAAUACCUAUGCUUAGUUCAUUUUUUGGGAGCAUACCAAACUUCAGGACAACAAGGGGAGUCCAUUCAGAAAUAAAAACAGCAAAAUGUUUGACUUUUUUUCAACCUUUUGUGUCUGCGUGCCUUGUAUGAACUGUUCGCUUGAACAAGCAGUACUCAUAUUAUUCCCAAAAAGUUAUUCAAGUAAUGCUGAUUCAAAAGCGUUUUCAAGUAUGUCUCUACUUUUAUUUGUAUCCUGCUCUUAUUUUCAACCUCACCUGCUACUGUAGCUGGGCUCUGUACAAAGAAUCAUCAAUAUUGUGGACUAUACAAAACCAACAGUCCAAAAAAUAUAAAAAUUCAUUCAAUAUUAGAGCUAAUAAUAUUCUUUGACAUUAAACUUUGUGUCGACAGUGACUGUAUUAUUUACAAAGACUUCCUGGAAAAUGUGACUGUGUCCAUUUAGAUAACAUUAAAAAGGGCCAAAACGGAUAUUUAAAACAUGUUUAAGUAUGUUGGUUUACUUUACUUAGUUACUUUAUAGCCCAGUUUGACUUUACUAGAAGGUUGUCCUGAAAUGUAAAACCUUGCUAUGCACUGUAUAUUGUGACAUUUUUUUAUGUUUCUGAAACACAUUUACACCCAUUUUUAAAUAAAACAUGUUGUACUUUAUUACAUAAACAAUU
RNA transcript from Entelurus aequoreus (snake pipefish), 3268 nucleotides. It is a transcript of the gene named inorganic pyrophosphatase 2, with no coding region annotated. NCBI's taxonomy places the organism in Eukaryota, Metazoa, Chordata, Actinopteri, Syngnathiformes, Syngnathidae. The record is from RefSeq and is a predicted model, not a curated record. The transcript has 12 exons.